ACUGUUGAAAAACGGCCAGGAGAAACAAUGAACGCAGAGGUGGAGAGGGGCCGCUGCCACGGACCCACUAGACGAACAUUAACCCAAGGUUCUGGGGACGAGCCUCACCGACAUUAAUGCUGUAGAGUAGCUCAAACCCAGUCCAGAGACACCUGGAGAAGGACACAGGUACAUUUCAUUCAACUGUCCCACCACCAUCAGGGCCAUGGCCACAGUGUGUAGAAACUGACCAUGUUGGUGAUGAGGGACAGACCAAGAACCCUGAGUCCACAGUGUUUUGCCACCGUUACUUCAGGAACUGCACUCAUACCUGGGGAGAAACGAAGAAAGAAACACAAAGAACUGAAAGUCAAAGAACUUCAAGAUGAGGGGGCCUCACCACGAGCUUCCUUUGGUGUGCAUCAUCCAGCAGCAGAACGUCCACAGGACGACCCCGACAAGGAACCCAGAGUCC
Long non-coding RNA from Betta splendens (Siamese fighting fish), 454 nucleotides. RefSeq lists it as uncharacterized. NCBI's taxonomy places the organism in Eukaryota, Metazoa, Chordata, Actinopteri, Anabantiformes, Osphronemidae. The record is from RefSeq and is a predicted model, not a curated record. The transcript has 4 exons.